Octopus sinensis (East Asian common octopus) is the source of this 241-nucleotide long non-coding RNA. RefSeq lists it as uncharacterized. The transcript is spliced from 3 exons. The record is from RefSeq and is a predicted model, not a curated record. NCBI's taxonomy places the organism in Eukaryota, Metazoa, Mollusca, Cephalopoda, Octopoda, Octopodidae.
UCGUCCUCAACUGGUGUUAAAUAUCCCAAAUUGGCAAACUAUCAUCUUAGUAAACUUGCUCAGAUCUGGCACACAAAUGUACUGGCUGAGAAGCUAUCUGCAGACAAUGUAACAGCCAAUAGCAUGAAUCCUGGUUAUGUUUAUUCUGGUAUAUGGUAUGCUGACUCCAACCCAAUGAAACAAAUACUUUUGCGAUUUUCUGGUUGGUUAUCCUCAAAGAUUGGUCGAACACAACAGAAUA